RNAcentral lists this transfer RNA (109 nucleotides) under Microcaldota archaeon. RNAcentral's name for it is "tRNA-Lys". It matches the Rfam family "tRNA". Rfam says of the family: Transfer RNA (tRNA) molecules are approximately 80 nucleotides in length. Lineage: Archaea; Nanobdellati; Microcaldota. The record is from RNAcentral.
GGGCCCAUAGCUCAGCUUGGUAGAGGAACACAGCUCCAAAAGGAGAGGUUUCGCCGUAAGCAACGGACUCUUAAUCCGUGGGUCGAGGGUUCAAAUCCCUCUGGGCCCG